UUCCUUAGUACGGCGAGUGACCGGGAUGAGCUCAAAUUUGAAAUCUGGCGUCUUUCAGGCGUCCGAGUUGUAAUCUAUAGAGGCGUUUUCCGCGCCGGACCGCGUCCAAGUCUCUUGGAAUAGAGUAUCAAAGAGGGUGACAAUCCCGUACUUGACGCGACAACCGGUGCUCUGUGAUACGUUCUCAACGAGUCGAGUUGUUUGGGAAUGCAGCUCUAAAUGGGUGGUAAAUUCCAUCUAAGGCUAAAUAUUGGCGAGAGACCGAUAGCGAACAAGUACCGUGAGGGAAAGAUGAAAAGCACUUUGGAAAGAGAGUUAAACAGCACGUGAAAUUGUUAAAAGGGAAACGAUUGAAGUCAGUCGUGUGAAAGGUAUUCAGCCGUCUCUGGCGGUGUAUUUGCCUUUCACGGGUCAACAUCAGUUUAGUCCGGUAGAAAAAGGCUGGAGGAAGGUGGCACCCUCGGGUGUGUUAUAGCCUCCUGUCACAUGUGCCGGAUUAGACUGAGGAACGCAGCUUGCCGCAAGGCCGGGGUUCGCCCACGUACAAGCUUAGGAUGUUGACAUAAUGGCUUUAAACGACCCGUCUUAACA
RNAcentral lists this ribosomal RNA (591 nucleotides) under Vishniacozyma victoriae. RNAcentral's name for it is "eukaryotic LSU rRNA". It matches the Rfam family "Eukaryotic large subunit ribosomal RNA", at positions 76 to 659 of the family's 3401-position model. Lineage: Eukaryota; Fungi; Basidiomycota; Tremellomycetes; Tremellales; Bulleribasidiaceae. The record is from RNAcentral.